UUGCGUUUCCUUGCGAGACGCUCUCCUCAAAUGUAUUGGUGCGGCCUGCCGCCCGGUUACACAACGUUCUAGGUUCGUCCAACUCGUUGCCAAACCGGUGCACCUUUUGGUGCUGCACCUAAAGCCCGCCUCGUGCCUUGUGCUCUUGGUUUACUUCAUUUAUUGACCUCAGAUCAGGUAGGAAUACGCGCUGAACUUAA
RNAcentral lists this unclassified non-coding RNA (200 nucleotides) under soil metagenome. RNAcentral describes it as "partial contains internal transcribed spacer 2 and large subunit ribosomal RNA". The record is from RNAcentral.